CUAGAGAAUCAGGCCAACAUUAUCGGCGUCCCAGCAGGCCGUCCUUAGGCGAAAUGGGCCGAAAAAUAAAUAAAAAAUAAAAGAAAAGAAGAGAGACGUGGGUUAAUCAAGGAACGUCCGAGCUCGUCCUUAUUGAGCAUGUGGCACAGUUUGAUUGGAAAACCGAAAGGGGUAGAGGAAACACGAAGAUCUGUUUCGAAUAAUCUUGGUCUCGACUCCUUUCUCUCUAUUCCGACGGCGAUCUCGACUCCUCUCUCUCUUUUUCGACGGCGACACCGAUCAGUCGUGUAAUCGAAGACUUCUCCGCCGAAUCGAAUAUAGAGGAGGGGAAAGACGAGUUUCGGUGUGGAAAGCAUUCUCGGCGUUUCCGUAUUGUCUCUCUCUCGACGGCGAUCCAAUCGAAAACAGGUUUGUGUUUUCUCAAUCUCCGUCUCGGUUAGAUUAAUUUUAUUUCGUGCGAUAUAGAGCUUACGAUUGAUGAUUUGAUCUAUCUCCGUCUUGGUUAGAAUUUUUUUUUAGAGUGAUGAUGCUUCCUGAUUGUGAUGGUUUGUAAUUGUGAUGGUGUGUAAUAUUUUUGCUAAAUUUCUCUUAUGUGAAUUCUUUUGAAUGAGUAAACAAAAUUGUUCCUGCGUUUAUGAACUCUUGGUCAGAAUUCUCUCAUAGUUUUGAUUGACUAAAUCUGUUCAUCUUUUCAUAUUUACGAUAAUUGUUCAAGUGUUUAUGCUCAUUGUUCAUUUGUGAAUUUCCUUUGAUUGAGUUAGCAUAAUUGUUCAAGUGUUUAUGGUCAUUGUUCAUAAUUAUUCUCAUAGUUUUGAAAGAGUAAAUCUUUUCAUAUACAUGUGAAAUGCAAAAGAGGUUGUUGUACUUGCGUAAAAGUAAACUGAUAUUUAAUAACUUGUUACUAGCUUUGUGGUUCUAUGUGUAGCUUGUCAGAUUUUAUGGUUCGGUCAUUACUGAAAGUAGUUUAUGGUUCGGUCAUUACUUAUUAUUAGAGUGUUUGGUUGUAACUCAUUACUUCUUCAUAUCGUUAAUGGUCUUGUCUACUUUACUUCUCUGUAGUUUAUGGGUUGCUUGUUAGAGUUUAUAGUUGUAACUCAUUACUUCUCAGCGGUAAUGGUCUUGUCUACUGUUUAAUUAUCUUUAGUUUUACCUAUUA
Brassica napus (rape) is the source of this 1156-nucleotide long non-coding RNA. RefSeq lists it as uncharacterized. NCBI's taxonomy places the organism in Eukaryota, Viridiplantae, Streptophyta, Magnoliopsida, Brassicales, Brassicaceae. The record is from RefSeq and is a predicted model, not a curated record. The transcript is spliced from 2 exons.